AUUGAACGCUGGCGGCAUGCCUUACACAUGCAAGUCGAACGGUAACAGGUCUUCGGAUGCUGACGAGUGGCGAACGGGUGAGUAAUACAUCGGAACGUGCCUAGUAGUGGGGGAUAACUACUCGAAAGAGUGGCUAAUACCGCAUGAGAUCUACGGAUGAAAGCAGGGGAUCGCAAGACCUUGUGCUACUAGAGCGGCCGAUGGCAGAUAGGUAGUUGGUGGGAUAAAAGCUUACCAAGCCGACGAUCUGUAGCUGGUCUGAGAGGACGAUCAGCCACACUGGGACUGAGACACGGCCCAGACUCCUACGGGAGGCAGCAGUGGGGAAUUUUGGACAAUGGGCGCAAGCCUGAUCCAGCAAUGCCGCGUGCAGGAUGAAGGCCUUCGGGUUGUAAACUGCUUUUGUACGGAACGAAAAGCCCUGGGUUAAUACCCUGGGGUCAUGACGGUACCGUAAGAAUAAGCACCGGCUAACUACGUG
RNAcentral lists this ribosomal RNA (481 nucleotides) under uncultured bacterium. RNAcentral's name for it is "partial 16S ribosomal RNA". It matches the Rfam family "Bacterial small subunit ribosomal RNA", at positions 30 to 507 of the family's 1533-position model. The record is from RNAcentral.